RNAcentral lists this long non-coding RNA (295 nucleotides) under Medicago truncatula (barrel medic). RNAcentral's name for it is "lncRNA gene2210". Lineage: Eukaryota; Viridiplantae; Streptophyta; Magnoliopsida; Fabales; Fabaceae. The record is from RNAcentral.
UAAAAUACGUAAUAUUUUAAUUUUCUUCCAACUCUACGAAGUUGCUAUAGUUAACUCAACAAAUAAGCUAUUCAAAGCAAACUAAGAUUGCAAAAAAAUUUGUCUCCCUUAUGCAAAACGUUAUUGAAUGCAAAUUGAAUUCAACCAUCAUAGAUGCAUUUCUUCUUUUCGUCAUCUUUUGAUGCAACAAUAGUAGACCUGCACAUUUCCAUAUUGUCAAGAUCCAUUAAAAGAAUUGACAUCUUUUUCCGUUUCUCAAAUUGAAUCGAAACCUCUUCCGAAAAAAACUACAAUC